UGUAUUUAUUGCGUCUUGAUUUAAUUUCAGCGGCAGAUCGUUUACUAUUUGUAGCACGAUAAUAAUUGCAAAGUAUAAUUUUUUAAUGUAAAAUGUUGACCAGAUAUACCAGGUACCCAGUUCUAUUUGGCCUUGGGAUGGUUGUGAUGACGUACGCAUUUAUAAAUAGAGAAACGUUAUUUUUGCAAAAUAUAGAAGAACAAAGAAUUGAAUUGUGGAAUAAACAUACAGAUCCAAAAAGUCGUCAAUUACUGGAAGAACUGAAAGCUAAAUUAAACAAAAAAAUCUAACUUGUUAACUUACACUAUAACAGUAUGUUAGUUAAUGCAAUGAAUAUAAUAAUACAUUCAACUUCAUGCUUAUAUAAUGUAAAAACUAAUGUAUUCAAGUACUGAACUCAUGUAUUUAAAUGUUUAUUCGGAAAUACUUUCUUAUUAGAAUAAAAGAUGAGUUAUAACAUA
Molecule: long non-coding RNA, 461 nt
Organism: Phymastichus coffea
Lineage: Eukaryota; Metazoa; Arthropoda; Insecta; Hymenoptera; Eulophidae
Exons: 2
Source: RefSeq, a predicted model, not a curated record